This 985-nucleotide unclassified non-coding RNA is filed under the name Haliotis rubra (blacklip abalone). RNAcentral describes it as "uncharacterized LOC124274451, transcript variant X3". The record is from RNAcentral. Lineage: Eukaryota; Metazoa; Mollusca; Gastropoda; Lepetellida; Haliotidae.
GUUGAUACGUGACGUCACCAUCUACUUCAGAACUGACCAUACACCAAGGAGAAAUGGUAUCCAUGUGUACGUGACCAACUCCACGGAUGCACCCAGUGGUGACAACUGCUAUACCGUGACAGGAAGAAGUGAUGGAAGCGACAUUGCUGACGUCACACGGGCACCUUGCUCGGGCAGAGGGCGCUACAUUUUACUUUACACAACAGUGAACAAUGAUGGCGACACACUGCCUUUGCUUGACUUUUGUGAGGUGGAAGUAGACGUGUGUGGUCUUCGUACUUUCGGCGCUGACUGUGUCAACUACUGCCACUGUGACGGCGAUACGUGCAACUACGUCAGCGGUGUCUGUCCUAGUGACACGUGUAUGUCAGGGUUGGGUCGGCAGCAGUUGCAAUAUGACCUGUCCGACGGGACACUAUGGACGAGGCUGCUCCAAGUCAUGCACAGACAGACAGUGUAAGGACAACACCUCCAGCUGUAGCCAUGACACCGGGGAAUGUUCAGGUGGAUGUCUGGCAGGCUACAGAACACCGGACUGUACACAGGAAUGCAUAGACACGUAUGGAGAGGAUUGUGGCAGAAACUGUCUGACAGACACUGUAGUGACACCACCUCGUCAAGAUGUGAUCACGUGACUGGGUUGUGUGAUGGGGGCUGCAGGCCCGGAUGGAAGGGUGUCGACUGUACAACAGCAUGCAUACAAGGGGUGGAAUAUGGAGCUAACUGUUCGGGUACCUGCAGUGCCCGUAUGUGUGAGGAGGGAAUGCCACCUGUCCCCAGGAUUCAGGCCGCUGUGAGAACGGAUGCCAGUCAGGGUUUAAGGGAGAAGACUGCACUACUGCAUGCAUACAAGGGGUGGAAUAUGGAGCUAACUGUUCGGGUAACUGCAGUGCCCGUAUGUGUGAGGGAGGGAAUGCCACCUGUCCUCAGGAUUCAGGCUGCUGUGAGAACGGAUGCCAGUCAGGGUUUAAGGGAGAAGACUGCA